This 78-nucleotide transfer RNA is filed under the name archaeon. Its description in RNAcentral is "tRNA-Ala". It matches the Rfam family "tRNA". From Rfam's summary of the family: Transfer RNA (tRNA) molecules are approximately 80 nucleotides in length. Their secondary structure includes four short double-helical elements and three loops (D, anti-codon, and T loops). RNAcentral also lists the same sequence under 3 other names. The record is from RNAcentral.
GGGCCGGUAGAACAGACUGGUAUGUUCACCCCCUUGGCAUGGGGGAGGUCGUGGGUUCAAGUCCCACCCGGUCCACCA